GACGAACGCUGGCGGCGUGCCUAACACAUGCAAGUCGAACGGAGAUAGUUAAUGAAGCUUGCGAUUUAGCUAUCUUAGUGGCGAACGGGUGAGUAACGCGUGGGUAACCUGCCCUUAAGACCGGGACAACAGCUGGAAACGGCUGCUAAUACCGGAUGUAUUGUCCGAGAGGCAUCUCUUGGAGAAGAAAGCUGGCCUCUGAAAAUGCUAGCGCUUAGGGAUGGACCCGCGUCUGAUUAGCUAGUUGGUGGGGUAGCGGCCUACCAAGGCGACGAUCAGUAGCCGGCCUGAGAGGGUAAACGGCCACACUGGGACUGAGACACGGCCCAGACUCCUACGGGAGGCAGCAGUGGGGAAUCUUCCGCAAUGGACGAAAGUCUGACGGAGCAACGCCGCGUGUAUGAAGAAGGCCUUCGGGUUGUAAAAUACUGUUGUUAGGGAAGAACGGCAUCUGUGUAAAUAAUGCAGGUGAUUGACGGUACCUAACGAGGAAGCCCCGGCUAACUACGUGCCAGCAGCCGCGGUAAUACGUAGGGGGCAAGCGUUGUCCGGAAUCAUUGGGCGUAAAGGGCGCGUAGGCGGCUAUAUAAGUCUGAUGUGAAAGUGCGGAGCUUAACU
Molecule: ribosomal RNA, 618 nt
Filed under: uncultured bacterium
Lineage: Bacteria
Description: bacterial SSU rRNA
Rfam family: Bacterial small subunit ribosomal RNA
Source: RNAcentral